RNAcentral lists this ribosomal RNA (244 nucleotides) under uncultured bacterium. RNAcentral's name for it is "partial small subunit ribosomal RNA". It matches the Rfam family "Bacterial small subunit ribosomal RNA", at positions 26 to 285 of the family's 1533-position model. The record is from RNAcentral.
AGAAUCAACGCUGGCGGCGUGCCUAACACAUGCAAGUCGAACGAGAAAGUGGGAGCAAUCCCAUGAGUAAAGUGGCGCACGGGUGAGUAACACGUGACUAACCUACCCUUGAGUGGGGAUAACCUAGGGAACCUGGGCUAAUACCGCAUAAUACCUACGGGUCAAAGGAGCAAUUCGCUUUAGGAGGGGUCGCGGCAGAUUAGUUAGUUGGCGGGGUAAUGGCCCACCAAGACAGUGAUCUGUA